Long non-coding RNA from Leptidea sinapis, 581 nucleotides. RefSeq lists it as uncharacterized. The transcript is spliced from 3 exons. NCBI's taxonomy places the organism in Eukaryota, Metazoa, Arthropoda, Insecta, Lepidoptera, Pieridae. The record is from RefSeq and is a predicted model, not a curated record.
AGCUUUUCGAUGUUAGUAAACUACCUUCAACAUUUAAGUAGACGUAAAAGGUGCUCUAAUAAAACUAAGAUUACUUCGUCUUUCAUAUUUAAAUGUUAGUAUAUCGUAUCUUCUAUUCUAUCAAAUAUAUCUAUGUUGUAACCAAAUUGAUCAGCAUUCGAUUAUCGAUGUUAGUAGAAAAAACUUUAAAUAAAUCUUUGAAUAUUUUAACAGUACUAUCAGUUGACUUUAAAUAGCUUUUCGAUGUUAGUAAACUACCUUCAACAUUUUAGUAGACGUAAAAGGUGGUCUAAUAAAACUAUGAGUACUCGGUCUUUCAAAUUUAAAUGUUAGUAUAUCGUAUCUUCUACUCUAUCAAAUAUCUCUAUGUUAUUACCCAAUUGACGAACAUUCGAGUAUCAAUGUUAGUAGAAGAAAGUUUAAAAAAUACUUUGCAUAUUGUAAGACACUUCUAUAAAUUGACUUAAAAUAGCUUUUCGAUGUUACUUAAACACCUUUUACACCUUAGUAGACGUAGAAGGUGGUCUAAUAAAACUAUGAGUACUCGGUUAUUUAAAUGUUAGUAUAUCGUAUCUUCUACU